Molecule: transfer RNA, 73 nt
Filed under: Stegodyphus mimosarum
Lineage: Eukaryota; Metazoa; Arthropoda; Arachnida; Araneae; Eresidae
Rfam family: tRNA
About the family: Transfer RNA (tRNA) molecules are approximately 80 nucleotides in length. Their secondary structure includes four short double-helical elements and three loops (D, anti-codon, and T loops).
Source: Rfam by way of RNAcentral
GCUGCCGUAGUGUAGUGGUCAGCACGCUCGGCGCGUAUUCGAGAGGUCCGUGGUUCGAGUCCCGGCGAGGGCA